Molecule: ribosomal RNA, 253 nt
Filed under: uncultured bacterium
Lineage: Bacteria
Description: partial 16S ribosomal RNA
Rfam family: Bacterial small subunit ribosomal RNA
Source: RNAcentral
UACAGAGGUGGCAAGCGUUGUUCGGAAUUACUGGGCGUAAAGGGCGCGUAGGCGGUCUUCUAAGUCUUGUGUGAAAUCCCUCGGCUCAACUGAGGAACUGCACGGGAUACUGGAAGACUUGAGUUCGGGAGAGGUGAGUGGAACUGCGAGUGUAGAGGUGAAAUUCGUAGAUAUUCGCAAGAACACCAGUGGCGAAGGCGGCUCACUGGCCCGAUACUGACGCUGAGGCACGAAAGCGUGGGGAGCAAACAGG